UGGGGAAUUUUGGACAAUGGGCGAAAGCCUGAUCCAGCCAUGCCGCGUGCAGGAUGAAGGCCUUCGGGUUGUAAACUGCUUUUGUACGGAACGAAAAGGUUUGGCCUAAUAGGCUGAGCUCAUGACGGUACCGUAAGAAUAAGCACCGGCUAACUACGUGCCAGCAGCCGCGGUAAUACGUAGGGUGCGAGCGUUAAUCGGAAUUACUGGGCGUAAAGCGUGCGCAGGCGGUUAUGUAAGACAGAUGUGAAAUCCCCGGGCUCAACCUGGGAACUGCAUUCAAAACUGACUGACUAGAGUAUGGUAGAGGGUGAUGGAAUUCCGCGUGUAGCAGUGAAAUGCGUAGAUAUGCGGAGGAACACCGAUGGCGAAGGCAAUCCCCUGGGCCUGCACUGACGCUCAUGCACGAAAGCGUGGGGAGCAAACA
Molecule: ribosomal RNA, 427 nt
Filed under: uncultured bacterium
Lineage: Bacteria
Description: bacterial SSU rRNA
Rfam family: Bacterial small subunit ribosomal RNA
Source: RNAcentral